Molecule: long non-coding RNA, 4543 nt
Organism: Acinonyx jubatus (cheetah)
Lineage: Eukaryota; Metazoa; Chordata; Mammalia; Carnivora; Felidae
Exons: 4
Source: RefSeq, a predicted model, not a curated record
GAGAGAAUCUUAAACAGGCUCCACACCCAGCCUGGAGUCCAACACAGGGCUCCAUGUCACAACCAUGUGAUCAUGACCUGAGCCGAAAUCAAGAGUCAGACACUUAACCAACUGAGCCAGCAGGCACCCUGGUCCCUGAUCUUUUUGUUCAGCCCCCUGCCUCUUUCAAUCACAAUGAACAUCUCUCAUUUUGUUUGCCUAGCACCAAUCCCUCCCUCCCUUUGAGCGCAUUCCUUCUUUUGGAGAACGGUCCCAAACAGGUCUAGGAGGGGUCCGUUCCCUUGGCUCCAGGAGUGGGCACAUAUGCCAGCUGGACUAAUCAGAGGCUUCCAGUGGGCUUUUUCUAAUUGGAAGGGAAGGGAUCUCUGUAUUGUUUCUGGAAGUGAAGGUGUGAGGGUGAAACGGAGCUGCUAAGGGAGGCCAUGGUUCCAGACUUAAGCAUCCGCCAUUCGCAAUAGAGAGAAUGAAGCCAGCAGACAGAGCAUAAUAGAGAUAGGGCACAAAGAGUGGGGCCUUGUGGCAUCUGGGUCCCUGGGUCUAGUCAUCCCUGGGGCCAGCUACAGCUUGACUACAGAAGCCAAUAAUUUCUUCUCUAUUCCAGGCUGAUUUGAUCUGGAUUUCUGCCAUUUGAAACCAAAAGUAUUACCCCAGAUGUGAUGGAGAUGAGCUAUACGGGAAGACAGGAACUCUCUUCUCCCCUGUUUGUCAAUUCUCUCCUUCCUAUCUCCUUCCUCUCCCCUUGACUUGCUUGUGCUCUGCUGUACAAACAGCUGGACCUCUGGUUUGUUAUUCAGAAAGUAUACAUACAACACUGGCACAUUGUGGGCCCUUAAUAAUAAUAGUGAAUGCACUUUGAGCACUUGCUAUGUGCCAAGCACUGUACUUAGAGCUUUUAUACCUGUUAUCUCUCUUAAACCUCCUAUCAGCUCUAUGAGGUGGGUGCUAUUGUUAUCCUUAGCAAAUAGAUGGGGAAACUGAGACCCAAAGCAGGUCAAUUACCUGCCCACAGUUAGACAGCUGGUAAGUUUAGUUCUGAGCCCUGAACCCAGACAGGUGCUUCCUAGAGCCCAUGUGCCUAAUCUUACGCCAGACUGCUUUCUUUCAUGGCCCUUUGCCCAUCAGUCUCCCUUCCUGCAUGGAGAUAUGCCAUGAUCAAGAAUAUGUGGCUGUUGUGUCUUGAAGCCUGAGCAGGAGUUUACGAGCAUCACCACAUCACCCUGAAUCAUCACAAUGCACUGUGAGACACACACUGGGAAAGAGAGGCUCAGAGAGAUGCAGUCUCCCAGGGUCACACAGCCAAUGGGUAUGAAGCCAGCAUCCAAAUCCAGCAGCAUCUUGACUAGGACCCCUUGUUCACCGGCCUGCACAUCCCUGAAAUGUUUUAGGCCAUACAUCCUCUAGCCGACUGGAGGCUCAUACCCUCAGCCUGGGCUUCAGAGCUGCCAGGAUCUCAAGCAGGGCUGGCUAGCUGCCUCCUGGAGGGGGAGGGGCACAUCGAUGAUGCUCAGGCUCAGAAUGGCAGUCGAGUGGCAGGCAGAGGCUGGCGUGGGAGGCUCCUUGAGUGGAUGCAGGCAUCCUGACUUCUCCAGGGAAACCUAGGCCAGGCUACUCUGAGGUCUGCUUAAUCCCUGUGUGCUCUGGAAGGGCCCCUCUUCGGCUAAGCCAGUGCACGGUCCGAUCAGCCGAUUGGCCCCGCUUGGGUCACAUGGCCACCUUGAUCCAAUCAGCUGCGGCCUGGGGGUCACGUGGUUCCGGUGGGACGCCUCAUCUUUAAAGGCUUGUGGCUCUGCCUGAUUUAGUCGCGGAGACAGAAAAUGAGGGAGGCAGGCGUCCCCUGAAAGGUAGUUGAGGACCGGCCACCAGCACCCUCGCCCAAAGCUUGGCCCCGGGCCGCACCUCCGUCUGCAAGACCCAGCGCCAAUCUGCUCCGGGCAGCAUCCUGAGCACAGCCUCUGCGCAGAGACAGGAGACGCCCCACGCCACAGCCCUCCUGGGUCAGCCGCUGAGUCCGGAACGCAAGGAACGGACGCCCCAGGCCACUCCCAGACCUUCUCAAGACAGCUCACAGUUUGGGGGGUGAGGCAGACCCCUGGACGAUGCUUGGUGAGACAAGUACCAGGGUAGAGGAAGUGCAAAGAGUCACAGAUACACGGGGGCAGCCAACCAGAUUCUCUGGAGCCAGUGGCUGUAAGAUCCCACCUGAAGGUAAGGAAGUAGCUAGAAAAAGGAUUGGGGGUGGAUCAAAGGGGACAGGGAGAAUUUGGCAAGGAGCUGACCCUGUAUGGAGAAUGCUGUAGAUGAGAUCCAUACAUAGUGAACCUUUAGGCCUAGGAGUCCUCUGAAGUCCUCCUCAAUUAGGAUUUUAAGAUUAGUUGAUUCCCACUCUCCUGAUAGCCAAGGGGAUGUAAUUAGAACAGAUGCCCCACUAUUGAAAGCAAGAGGCCUGCCUUCCUUCCUUCCUUCCUUCCUUCCUUCCUUCCUUCCUUCCCAAAGCACGGAUAAUAAAAGUUCUCAGUACUUCGCCCUCUCCACCAGAGCAGCUCCCUGGGGUGGCUGGCACUCCCACGGCCUUGCGAGAUCUUCCUGACCGAUGCCUUGUGGCACGUGAAGUGCCAGCUGCCUGCUGGCCAUCUCCCACCCCACCCUCAAUGCCCAUGCACCUCAUGCUCCCACCAGCUGAGUCUUGCACUUUCUGAGAAUCAGAUGGGUCUGUUGCCAACUCUCUUGGUGCCAGUCAUACUUGUUAUUGUAAUUAUGUGAUUUAAAUUAAACAUCACAUAAGCUGAUGAAAUAUGAGUGUGAAAGGAAAUAGAGUUGCAUCUAUGGAAACUAAAUUGAAUGCUUUGGAAUGACUCCAUGAAGGAGAAUCUCUAAAAAGAAUUACUCCCUCAAUAUUAGGUGUGAGUGACUGAGACAGUUGCACCCCACUGGGUCAGUUCCAUUGGGGCAGGGACCAAGUCCAUCUUGCUCACUGCGGCCUCCCCAGUGCCCCACACAGAGCCUGGCACAUUGUAGGUGCUCAAUAAAUACGUGUUGAGUGAACAUGCCGUAGAAGAAUUAAACAUGGUGAGCAAUGAACUGUGGUGUAGUUUAUAUAAGGCAGACAGUGUGGAGAACAAAACUGUGGUCAAAGGAAAGACCUUGGUCCUACAUUAAAUGGAUUGACGAGUAAAUGUGCAUUUAGGUAUUUGCACACUAUAAUGAAAUGCUUUAGCUGUGUAUGUGUUCUUAUGCCCUCCUCACAAAUUACUCUUUACCAACCAACUAUGUCAUCUUCAAGGCUUCAAGGUGUUAGUAAAUGUUUCUGUAAAGGGUGAGAUAAAUAAUUUGGGCGUUGCGGGUUACAGUGUCUGUCACAGCUACUCGACUCUGCCGUUGCAGCAUAAAAGCAGACAAAUGUAAAUGAAUGAUCAUGGUUGUGAUCCAAUAAAACUUUAUCUACAAAAACAGACAGCAAGCUCUAGUUUGCCAACCCCUGUUCUAAGGAAUUGAUUUGUUCUUUGUGCCAGGCACUGUGUUGUGUUGCUAGACAUAUCAAGAUAAAGGAAAUCCUGUCCCAGCUUUUACAGAGCCUGGCUUCUAGUUGAGAGAUGGUUGUGAGUUGGGGUAUCGGCAUGCUGGUAAGGGCUUGAGCGUGGUGCGAAGGGGUCACAGUGAAGGCAAAUGCUUCUCCCAUGGGGGCAGGGAAAGAGAGAUGUGGAAAAAAUGAGGCAUUUGGUUAUGUUUAUGUGAUGGGUGAUAUUUCCCCAGGUAGUCAGGUGGGGUGACAGGAAAGGACACUGCAGAUAGAGGGAGUAGCAUAUGCAAAGGCAUGGAGACAUGGAAGAAGCUGGAGCUCGAAGUGGGUGUCACUGGAGAGGGAAGGCAUGAAAAAGUCUAGAUUUUAUGAUAUUGGAGCUGGUGGGCCUCUGCUUCUGGGUUUCCAGCCAGGCAGGAACUUGGGAAGAUCUCCCCACAGAGUACAGAGAUGGACUGGGGGCAGAGGACAGAUCAGAAGGCUGACUCAGUAGUCCAGGUGAGGAUGACAAGGUUGUGAGGCCCAGAAGACUUGGCCAUGGAGGGCAGGAACAGGAGGAGUUAAGAAUGAUGCUUGGGUUGGGUGACCAGGAGGAUGGUGUGGAUUAUGGGGAGAAAGAACACUGGGGAGCUAGACUGAUUGGCAGAAUCUUGGGUUUGUUCAAACAAGCCCCCAAACAUCCAGGUAGGUAGCUGGGAUUUGAAUCUUCAUACCGUGGCUCAGCUGCUCAGAGCUGCCUGAACAAGUGAGGUGGGUAGGCAUUGCUGAGAACUGGAACCUUGAGAUGUCUUUCCAAAGACAAGUCUAAAGACUCAGAGACUCUGGCAGUCCAUAUCCAAAGGGGAACUUCAUUCAUCCUGGGCAUUUGCCCGAUUCCAGGAAAGUGUGUAACAUCCUGGGUUUGUCUAAGGAAAAGCAUUUGUUUUGACAUAGCAAGAAUUCUAGGUAUUUGGCUAAGGAAAACUGAUACUGAAAUCAUUGGUGAUGAGAAUGGGUGUGUCAGGGCUGAGUCAAUAAAGUCUCACU